GAUGAACGCUAGCUACAGGCUUAACACAUGCAAGUCGAGGGGCAGCGGGAUUGAAGCUUGCUUCAAUUGCCGGCGACCGGCGCACGGGUGAGUAACGCGUAUCCAACCUUCCGUACACUCAGGGAUAGCCUUUCGAAAGAAAGAUUAAUACCUGAUGGUAUGAUGAGAUUGCAUGAUAUCAUCAUUAAAGAUUUAUCGGUGUACGAUGGGGAUGCGUUCCAUUAGGUAGUAGGCGGGGUAACGGCCCACCUAGCCAACGAUGGAUAGGGGUUCUGAGAGGAAGGUCCCCCACAUUGGAACUGAGACACGGUCCAAACUCCGACGGGAGGCAGCAGUGAGGAAUAUUGGUCAAUGGACGAGAGUCUGAACCAGCCAAGUAGCGUGAAGGAUGAAGGUCCUACGGAUUGUAAACUUCUUUUAUAAGGGAAUAAACCCUCCCACGUGUGGGAGCUGGUAUGUACCUUAGGAAUAAGCAUCGGCGAACUCCGG
RNAcentral lists this ribosomal RNA (489 nucleotides) under uncultured bacterium. RNAcentral describes it as "partial 16S ribosomal RNA". It matches the Rfam family "Bacterial small subunit ribosomal RNA", at positions 28 to 506 of the family's 1533-position model. The record is from RNAcentral.